RNAcentral lists this ribosomal RNA (377 nucleotides) under Moraxellaceae bacterium. RNAcentral describes it as "bacterial SSU rRNA". It matches the Rfam family "Bacterial small subunit ribosomal RNA", at positions 1 to 374 of the family's 1533-position model. Lineage: Bacteria; Pseudomonadati; Pseudomonadota; Gammaproteobacteria; Moraxellales; Moraxellaceae. The record is from RNAcentral.
UWAAACUGAAGAGUUUGAUCAUGGCUCAGAUUGAACGCUGGCGGCAGGCYUAACACAUGCAAGUCGAGCGGAAACGAUGGKAGCUUGCUWCCAGGCGUCGAGCGGCGGACGGGUGCGUAACGCGUAGGAAUCUGCCCAGUAGCGGGGGAUAGCCCGGAGAAAUCCGGAUUAAUACCGCAUAAGCCCUACGGGGGAAAGCAGGGGAUCUUCGGACCUUGCGCUAUUGGAUGAGCCUGCGUCGGAUUAGCUUGUAGGUGGGGUAAUGGCCUACCUAGGCAACGAUCCGUAGCUGGUCUGAGAGGAUGAUCAGCCACACUGGGACUGAGACACGGCCCAGACUCCUACGGGAGGCAGCAGUGGGGAAUAUUGGACAAUGG